This 938-nucleotide long non-coding RNA is filed under the name Salvator merianae (Argentine black and white tegu). RNAcentral's name for it is "lncRNA (ENSSMRG00000012732.1)". The record is from RNAcentral. Lineage: Eukaryota; Metazoa; Chordata; Lepidosauria; Squamata; Teiidae.
UUCCCUUUUGCUUUCAAUUAGCUGUUCAUUGAUCAUUACCAAAAGUCACUUGAUGAUUAACAGAAAAAGAAUAAACAAUAGGAUGGAAAAAAAGAAGAAAGGACAUAUUUGGAAAUUGUGCAUCGGGAAAGAUGCAGCUGCGAGGAUGAGUAACGGAGCAAGAGGCAGCAGGCUAUUUCCCCUCCCCAACUCUGAAGGAUUACUUGUACAAAAUACAAACCCCUGGGAGUUCUCUCUUGUGCUCGUGGAAUAAUUCAUUAUUACUCACAGGAGUAUCAGGGAUGAAGGAGGACUUUGCCAGAGCAUACCAUCCAGUUCUGAUUAUAACUAGAAGAUAAAUGAUCAUCGACAAAACUGUGUGUGAAACGUACAAAAACUGACACUUGAACAGGGAUCUAAAUGCAAAGUUAGGAACAGCUCUUAGUGCACUCUUAAUGUGUAUGUAGUGCAAUACUGGAAUUUAAAAAUACUUGCAUAGGUGAGAACCAUACAGCAUUAUAUUUGGUUUCAAGAGGGAUUGCAGCAAUGGCUGAGAUUUUUAGCAUUGUAAAAAAUAAUCAUUGAUGUCUACAGCUAAGAAAAAGAAAUUAUCUUUUCAGACAAACCUGCUGUGCCCUGCUUAAAAUUUUAUGUUUUAGGAGGAAAGGGGAACACGUCAUCUUUACGGAGCAGCUACUGAAGGCAUUCUCUAAAUUAUACAAUGCAAUAGCCACUCCCUUCCAUAUUUGCAAGCAUCUGUUUAAAUCUUACGGAUAUGUUUUUAACUGCAGAAGGCAACAAAAGGUAUUUCUGCUACAUAUUCUGGAACCUCGUUGGGAUCUUUCUGGCACCAGUUAGCUCAACUUUGUGGCACACCAAGGAUAUGUUUGCACCUAACGGCAGGCUAUUGUAUAGUAAUAUCAUACCAGGCCAAUAAAUAUCAGGCAUGGAGGUGGCCA